Molecule: ribosomal RNA, 468 nt
Filed under: uncultured bacterium
Lineage: Bacteria
Description: partial 16S ribosomal RNA
Rfam family: Bacterial small subunit ribosomal RNA
Source: RNAcentral
GACGAACGCUGGCGGCGUGCUUAACACAUGCAAGUCGAACGGAAAGGCCCUGCUUUUGUGGGGUGCUCGAGUGGCGAACGGGUGAGUAACACGUGAGUAACCUGCCCUUGACUUUGGGAUAACUUCACGAAACUGGGGCUAAUACCGGAUAGGAGCUCCUGCUGCAUGGUGGUGGUUGGAAAGUUUCGGCGGUUGUGGAUGGACUCGCGGCUUAUCAGCUUGUUGGUGGGGUAGUGGCUUACCAAGGCUUUGACGGGUAGCCGGCCUGAGAGGGUGACCGGCCACAUUGGGACUGAGAUACGGACCAGACUGCUACGGGAGGCAGCAGUGGGGAAUAUUGCACAAUGGGGGGAAGUCUGAGGCAGCAACGCCGCGUGCGGGAUGACGGCCUUCGGGUUGUAAACCGCUUUCGCAUGUGACGAAGCGUGAGUGACGGUAAUGGGUAAAGAAGCACCGGCUAACUACGUG